RNAcentral lists this ribosomal RNA (497 nucleotides) under uncultured bacterium. RNAcentral's name for it is "partial 16S ribosomal RNA". It matches the Rfam family "Bacterial small subunit ribosomal RNA", at positions 28 to 507 of the family's 1533-position model. The record is from RNAcentral.
GACGAACGCUGGCGGCGUGCCUAAUACAUGCAAGUAGAACGCUGAAGAGAGGAGCUUGCUCUUCUUGGAUGAGUUGCGAACGGGUGAGUAACGCGUAGGUAACCUGCCUUGUAGCGGGGGAUAACUAUUGGAAACGAUAGCUAAUACCGCAUAACAAUGGAUGACACAUGUCAUUUAUUUGAAAGGGGCAAUUGUUCCACUACAAGAUGGACCUGCGUUGUAUUAGCUAGUAGGUGAGGUAAUGGCUCACCUAGGCGACGAUACAUAGCCGACCUGAGAGGGUGAUCGGCCACACUGGGACUGAGACACGGCCCAGACUCCUACGGGAGGCAGCAGUAGGGAAUCUUCGGCAAUGGGGGCAACCCUGACCGAGCAACGCCGCGUGAGUGAAGAAGGUUUUCGGAUCGUAAAGCUCUGUUGUAAGUCAAGAAUGGGUGUGAGAGUGGAAAGUUCACACUGUGACGGUAGCUUACCAGAAAGGGACGGCUAACUACGUG